GAAAAAUUUAUGCUCAGAAUCUGAUGGGAAGAUUUUGGAUUCCUGUGAAGCUUUGUUUAUUUGGAAAUAGAUGAGUUUUUUUCUACUUGUGUUGUAAAGUUGAAACCCUAAAAAAAUGUGUAAUAGAGAAGUUGCCUACCUCUGAGAUAAUUUUUAUAUCGUUUGGCAUAAAACCCUCCAGCGUUUCCCCUUCUGUUCCUGUGAUAGUGUGCAUUAUGCUUUACGUGAGAUAGUGCAAUUAUGUUGUUUUUCAACUAUUAUUUCUUCAAUUAUCAUGUCUUAGAUGACUUUUAUAACAGAUGUACACAGUCCGUGACCCUAGACCACCGUGCUUGUCCCUGCGGCUCCACUGGAUGUUCCCCUCGCCAGCCAGCAUCAUGGGCUUUCCAGUAAACAUUGUUUGGGAAACUGAACUUCAUUUUGAAAGUGCAGCCCCCUCAUAAAAUCUCUAAGGUUAAAUCUGGGAACUAGGACCUGUUCAUUCUUAAGGUUUGAAUCCAGGAUGGCUGUGGGAUGGCUGUUGUUACUCCGAGGAGAGAUGCAGGUGAUCCCGCUGGUGGGAGAAAAGAAGAGGAAGAAGAGGACUUGGAGAAACAAUAAUCGUCUUGGGUGGAUGGACUUUGGCAUGGAGGAGGGCUCUGAAAUGAGUCUCAGGCUGUGCUACACUCCUGCCAGUGUGAGCUUCCUGUGGCGCCUUGACCAGCCUGGGGUGACAAGACCAGUAGUGUCAGCAGAUGGUGAUCUGGCUGUGGCUCUGAAGAUCUGGCGUGCGAUGUGAUUGGCCCCUGCAUUCGGUUGACUUAAAGAAGGAGGUUGCCUUGUUUGUGUGUGUUGGGGGCCGAGAGCAGGGAGGGAUGUGGGCAAGGGGCUUAU
Non-coding RNA from Oryctolagus cuniculus (rabbit), 873 nucleotides. Lineage: Eukaryota; Metazoa; Chordata; Mammalia; Lagomorpha; Leporidae. The record is from RefSeq and is a predicted model, not a curated record.